Molecule: long non-coding RNA, 564 nt
Organism: Gopherus flavomarginatus (Mexican gopher tortoise)
Lineage: Eukaryota; Metazoa; Chordata; Testudines; Testudinidae
Exons: 2
Source: RefSeq, a predicted model, not a curated record
UGAGUGAUGUGGGAGCAUUCCCAACACUCUCUGUUGUUGUUCUAUUAUUUUAUUAAUGAAGCUUUAAAAUUCAGUUAUAUGGUGUGUUUUCUUUAUCUUCCCCCAACGAUCCUGCAGUGUCAGCCUGAUCACCUGACAUGAGGGAUAGAUUGGUAACAGAAAUUUUUAACUGGAAAAAAAAUAUCAAGCUCAGGCUAUAGAUAGGACACUGACUCCACUCAAGGACACUGCUCACAGUUAAGACUUGGCUAACAAUCAGGAAAAGGAGGGCUUGAAUUUUCCCACGCAGCUAUAAGGUUUGCAAAACACUGCCAGGCACUAAUGAAAUGUGUUAGGUUUCUUUUCUCACAGGCAAAGAAGCGCUACCCAAAGAUCCUAGCAGCCCUGCCACUCCUUGGAAUCAGGAAACUGGACUGAUGUAAAGGUCCACCAACAAAAGACUGCUUUGGCUCCAUGCUGGAAAGGCCCUUAUUAAGUCCUGCUGACUACCAACACCGCUAUGAAGUGCCAAAGACUGACUGCUUGGACCCAAGAUUCUCACUGCAAAAAGACCCCUCCACCUCG